AACUAUAACGGUCCUAAGGUAGCGAAAUUCCUUGUCAGGUAAGUUCUGACCCGCACGAAAGGUGUAACGAUUUGGGCGCUGUCUCGGCAGCAGACUCGGUGAAAUCUUAGUACCUGUGAAAAUGCAGGUUACCCGCAACUAGACGGAAAGACCCCAUGGAGCUUUACUGCAGCCUGAUAUUGAAUUCUGGUCAUACAUGUACAGGAUAGGUGGGAGACAAAGAGACGUGCACGCCAGUGUACGAGGAGUCGACGUUGGGAUACCACUCUUGUGUGACCGGGGUUCUAACCUGGUAUCGAGAACAGGUACGGGGAGAGUGUCAGGUGGGCAGUUUGACUGGGGCGGUCGCCUCCCAAAGAGUAACGGAGGCGCCCAAAGGUACGCUCAGAUUGGAUGGAAACCAAUCGUCGAGUGCAAUUGCAGAAGCGUGCUUGACUGUGAGACAGACAAGUCGAACAGGGACGAAAGUCGGGAAUAGUGAUCCGGCGGUGCCGAAUGGAAGGGCCGUCGCUCAACGGAUAAAAGCUACCCUGGGGAUAACAGGCUGAUCUCCCCCAAGAGUCCACAUCGACGGGGAGGUUUGGCACCUCGAUGUCGGCUCAUCGCAUCCUGGGGCUGAAGUAGGUCCCAAGGGUUGGGCUGUUCGCCCAUUAAAGCGGUACGCGAGCUGGGUUCAGAACGUCGUGAGACAGUUCGGUCCCUAUCUGUUGUGGGCGAAGGAGAUCUGCGGAGAGCUGUCCUCAGUACGAGAGGACCGGGAUGGACCUACCGCUGGUGCACCGGUUGUUCCGCCAGGGGCAUAGCCGGGUAGCUAAGUAGGGAAAGGAUAAGCGCUGAAAGCAUCUAAGCACGAAGCCUACUCCAAGAUGAGAUCUCCCAUUCGCAAGAAGUAAGACCCCUUAAAGACGAUAAGGUAGAUAGGCCAGGGAUGGAAGUGCAGUGAUGUACGGAGUUGACUGGUACUAAUCGGUCGAGGACUUAAUCAG
Molecule: ribosomal RNA, 986 nt
Filed under: human gut metagenome
Description: bacterial LSU rRNA
Rfam family: Bacterial large subunit ribosomal RNA
Source: RNAcentral